Gallus gallus (chicken) is the source of this 110-nucleotide microRNA precursor. The record is from Ensembl. Lineage: Eukaryota; Metazoa; Chordata; Aves; Galliformes; Phasianidae.
CAUAUUAAAAACCAAGUCACUGACUUCCUUCAGCUCCAGUGAUAGUAGUGUGGAAGGAUUGACUGAACUACACUGAGCUGGAAGAAUCAUGUGGCUUGGCCUUGAAAAUC